Molecule: ribosomal RNA, 490 nt
Filed under: uncultured bacterium
Lineage: Bacteria
Description: partial 16S ribosomal RNA
Rfam family: Bacterial small subunit ribosomal RNA
Source: RNAcentral
AUUGAACGCUGGCGGCAGGCCUAACACAUGCAAGUCGAACGGUAACAGGAAGAGGCUUGCUUCUUUGCUGACGAGUGGCGGACGGGUGAGUAAUGUCUGGGAAACUGCCUGAUGGAGGGGGAUAACUACUGGAAACGGUAGCUAAUACCGCAUAACGUCGCAAGACCAAAAAGGGGGACCUUCGAGCCUCUUGCCAUCGGAUGUGCCCAGAUGGGAUUAGCUAGUAGGUGGGGUAACGGCUCACCUAGGCGACGAUCCCUAGCUGGUCUGAGAGGAUGACCAGCCACACUGGAACUGAGACACGGUCCAGACUCCUACGGGAGGCAGCAGUGGGGAAUAUUGCACAAUGGGCGCAAGCCUGAUGCAGCCAUGCCGCGUGUAUGAAGAAGGCCUUCGGGUUGUAAAGUACUUUCAGCGGGGAGGAAGGGAGUAAAGUUAAUACCUUUGCUCAUUGACGUUACCCGCAGAAGAAGCACCGGCUAACUCCGUG